CGAACGCUGGACGGCAUGCCUAACACAUGCAAGUCGAACGAACCCUUCGGGGUGAGUGGCGCACGGGUGCGUAACACGUGGGAACCUACCCUCGAGUGGGGAAUAACCAACCGAAAGGUUGGCUAAUGCCGCGUACGACUUCCGGUCCUGCGGGAUCGGAAGGAAAGCUCUGCCGUGGGCAGGGCGCUCAAGGAUGGGCUCACGUCCUAUCAGCUUGUUGGUGAGGUAACGGCUCACCAAGGCUUCGACGGGUAGCUGGUCUGAGAGGACGAUCAGCCACACUGGCACUGCGACACGGGCCAGACU
This 306-nucleotide ribosomal RNA is filed under the name uncultured bacterium. RNAcentral's name for it is "bacterial SSU rRNA". It matches the Rfam family "Bacterial small subunit ribosomal RNA", at positions 30 to 337 of the family's 1533-position model. The record is from RNAcentral.